GUAGGCAUAGUUUUAAAAAAACGCUAGAUUGUGAUUCUAGAGAUAGAGGUUGAAAUCCUCUUACCCACC
Molecule: transfer RNA, 69 nt
Filed under: Aphyocharax rathbuni
Lineage: Eukaryota; Metazoa; Chordata; Actinopteri; Characiformes; Characidae
Description: tRNA-His
Rfam family: tRNA
About the family: Transfer RNA (tRNA) molecules are approximately 80 nucleotides in length.
Source: RNAcentral